AUAUACCUAUAUUUGUACACGCCAAACGGUAAUUUCAUUAUAACAAAUACAUUUGGCAAGCGUCUGAGCAGUCGAAACUUAAACAACGUUUAAGAUUUGAAGGAGACGCUUACCCCUAUGACGCAUCCGUUCUGGCUCCUUGUAGAGGUCUUACAAUUUCCUCAGGUUCUGUUUUUAUAACUAUAUUUCAUUAAUGCAUAUACAAAUGCAUUAUAUUUGAACAUAAGUUUACUAAUGUUGUCUCUAAUUUAAAUGUAUUUUCUCCGGCACGUCUUCUAACUGAUU
RNAcentral lists this long non-coding RNA (285 nucleotides) under Mytilus galloprovincialis (Mediterranean mussel). Lineage: Eukaryota; Metazoa; Mollusca; Bivalvia; Mytilida; Mytilidae. The record is from RNAcentral.